RNAcentral lists this long non-coding RNA (231 nucleotides) under Elaeis guineensis (African oil palm). RNAcentral's name for it is "long non-coding RNA (EGUI_LNC081698)". Lineage: Eukaryota; Viridiplantae; Streptophyta; Magnoliopsida; Arecales; Arecaceae. The record is from RNAcentral.
GCAUUGGCAGCUGGCUCCUCAAGUGCAGGAUCCAUUAUCACAUAUAGGAUCCGUUCAUGCUUCAGGACUAUCUUCAACUUUCGGUACCAGCUACCGAAGUUAGAUCCCACCAACUUAUCAUUGUCCAACAAUGAUCGGAGCGAUAGGAAAGUGGCCAUAUUUGCACAAAGGAGAACCAUAACCUAAUUAGUAAUUGAUUCAUUAAACCUAAAGAUUUGGACUUUAAUCAAA